CACCCUCCAGAGCCUCAUGUUAUGCUCCUGUGUCCUUCACAAUCUUCCCCUCCCAUACCCUGCCAUCCCGGUGUGGGGGUUGUAAAUCCAGUUUGCAUCCAUAAAGAGCCCUGGUGCAAGGCUGGACAGCAAUGGCCCUCAGAGAACAGAACAGGCUCGGGAAGGGCCAGGCAGUGCUCGAGCCUCGGGUGAGCAAGCGCAUGGCUUUUCAAAGCAGACCAUCUGCAGGAGGGGGACCACCCUCACCCAAGGCGCAGUCAUGUUCCCUUGGGGAACUUUGAGAGCUGAGUGGGCUUUGCCCCCCUCAUGUAACUGCUCCCUGGAUUUAAGGAGCUUUAAUUCCAUUUUUUAAUGACUUUCCUUCUCCUGAGAAGUAUCUGUCUCCAUGGCUGCCUCGGGUUGGCUACAGUAGUAGAAAGUAUGACUCUACCCUGCUGUCAUACCUGGGUGGGAAAAGUCAACAAACGAGUAACGGGAGAAGCAAGGAAGCCCCUGGGGUGGGUGGGUCAGGGAAGCCCCUUUGAGAUAGUCUGGGGCAUGAGAAGACCUGGCCAUGACCUCAGUGUGUUGUUUCUGCCCGUGCUGCCACAGGUUAGCAGAGGAGCCAGACAGAGGAAGCUCAGGCACAGAGGACGAGGAGCAAGCUGGCGCCGACAUGGCGAAGGCAAGGUCUUCCCCCAGAGGCACAUUCCUCUCCAUCUUUCCACCGCACACCUGGACCAGGCUUGCAGGCUGCCAGACGUCACUCCACCCGCCAGGGAGAGGGGAGCCAGAGCCGGUGGGAAGCGGGGAGGGGCUGCGUGGCACAGCUGGUGGGCCUCCCCCUGCACAGCCCUGCAUGUACUAGCACCUUCAUCACUCCCC
RNAcentral lists this small RNA (864 nucleotides) under Pongo abelii (Sumatran orangutan). RNAcentral describes it as "retained intron". The record is from RNAcentral. Lineage: Eukaryota; Metazoa; Chordata; Mammalia; Primates; Hominidae.